AACGAACGCUGGCGGCAUGCCUAACACAUGCAAGUCGAACGAGACCUUCGGGUCUAGUGGCGCACGGGUGCGUAACGCGUGGGAACCUGCCCUUAGGUUCGGAAUAACUCCCCGAAAGGGGUGCUAAUACCGGAUAAUGUCUUCGGACCAAAGAUUUAUCGCCUUUGGAUGGGCCCGCGUUGGAUUAGCUAGUUGGUAGGGUAAAAGCCUACCAAGGCGACGAUCCAUAGCUGGUCUGAGAGGAUGAUCAGCCACGCUGGGACUGAGACACGGCCCAGACUCCUACGGGAGGCAGCAGUGGGGAAUAUUGGACAAUGGGCGAAAGACUGAUCCAGCAAUGCCGCGUGAGUGAUGAAGGCCUUAGGGUUGUAAAGCUCUUUUACCCGGGAUGAUAAUGACAGUACCGGGAGAAUAAGCUCCGGCUAACUCCGUG
This 433-nucleotide ribosomal RNA is filed under the name uncultured bacterium. RNAcentral's name for it is "partial 16S ribosomal RNA". It matches the Rfam family "Bacterial small subunit ribosomal RNA", at positions 29 to 507 of the family's 1533-position model. The record is from RNAcentral.